This 344-nucleotide transfer-messenger RNA is filed under the name Spirochaetota. Its description in RNAcentral is "Exilispira sp012797605 Standard tmRNA". It matches the Rfam family "transfer-messenger RNA". From Rfam's summary of the family: Bacterial tmRNA, also known as 10Sa RNA or SsrA, is named for its dual tRNA and mRNA-like properties. Its role is to liberate the mRNA from a stalled ribosome. To accomplish this part of the tmRNA is used as a reading frame that ends in a translation stop signal. The record is from RNAcentral. Lineage: Bacteria; Pseudomonadati. RNAcentral also lists the same sequence under 2 other names.
GGGGGUGAAUCUGGUUUCGACUGUAAGGCAAAGUAACAGAUUGCAUGCAGACUUUCUGAAAGUCUUUAAACUUCAGAAAAAAACGAAUUGACAACAAUUCACUAGCACUUGCUGCUUAAUUGUAAGUAGCAGGGAAGUCUGAGAUAGCUUCUGGUUUCAGAACUUCCCCCGAUUACAGAAGCGAACUUUUUUCUUUGUCUGGGAGAAGAAAGUAAAAACACAGGCUGGUUUAUUUCAAGUUUGGAAUUUUUCUUGAAAUAAACGAGAUUGAAAAAUUCCUAAGCAUGUAGAUAUCCGUUAACGAACCUUGUAGGACGGGAGUUCAACUCUCCCCACCUCCAAUA